CCAAGAUCAAAAGCGGCAUGCUCGACUCACUGAGCCAGCCAGGUGUCCGUCUCCCCCUCUAGAAAGUCUUCUGUAAGCCCGAGCGCCAGUCCAGGCGUAGCACAUGGAACAGAGGAGGACGUUUGUGAACUGACUGCCUUGCACACGCAGAAAGGCAUGAACAGAGGCCUGGGGCCGGGUGUGCGGCCCAGGCCGCGGGCAGAAGCAUAUCCUAGGAAGGAGGCAGGAGCGAGCUCUAAUGUCAGGCGCCACAGUUGGUUCGGUGGCUUUGUGCUGGUCCUUCUACGGAAAAAUCGUUGCAAACACC
Long non-coding RNA from Suricata suricatta (meerkat), 307 nucleotides. RefSeq lists it as uncharacterized. The transcript has 2 exons. The record is from RefSeq and is a predicted model, not a curated record. NCBI's taxonomy places the organism in Eukaryota, Metazoa, Chordata, Mammalia, Carnivora, Herpestidae.